AGCCGCGGUAAUACGUAGGGUGCGAGCGUUGUCCGGAAUUACUGGGCGUAAAGAGCUCGUAGGUGGUUUGUCGCGUCGUCUGUGAAAUUCCGGGGCUUAACUUCGGGCGUGCAGGCGAUACGGGCAAUACUUGAGUGCUGUAGGGGAGACUGGAAUUCCUGGUGUAGCGGUGGAAUGCGCAGAUAUCAGGAGGAACACCGAUGGCGAAGGCAGGUCUCUGGGCAGUAACUGACGCUGAGGAGCGAAAGCAUGGGUAGCGAACAGGAUUAGAUACCCUGGUAGUCCAUGCCGUAAACGGUGGGCGCUAGGUGUAGGGGUCUUCCACGACUUCUGUGCCGUAGCUAACGCAUUAAGCGCCCCGCCUGGGGAGUACGGCCGCAAGGCUAAAACUCAAAGGAAUUGACGGGGGCCCGCACAAGCGGCGGAGCAUGUGGAUUAAUUCGAUGCAACGCGAAGAACCUUACCUGGGCUUGACAUACACCGGACCGGGCCAGAGAUGGUCUUUCCCUUGUGGCUGGUGUACAGGUGGUGCAUGGCC
Molecule: ribosomal RNA, 538 nt
Filed under: uncultured archaeon
Lineage: Archaea
Description: bacterial SSU rRNA
Rfam family: Bacterial small subunit ribosomal RNA
Source: RNAcentral